AUUCUUCCAGUCAAAGGCAAAGACAGAUCCAUCUUGGAGGUGAAUGCCUAGCUGUAAAGAUGGUGUCACCGGGAGGACUUUGGCUUCCUUGGACUACGGGAUGCUGUUCCAGGAGGAAGGACUGCUAAACAGAGAUGGGCCCCACCUAUCGAGGAAGGGGAAGAGCUUAUUUGGAUACAGACUGGCUAAC
Gopherus evgoodei (Goodes thornscrub tortoise) is the source of this 190-nucleotide long non-coding RNA. RefSeq lists it as uncharacterized. The record is from RefSeq and is a predicted model, not a curated record. The transcript is spliced from 3 exons. Lineage: Eukaryota; Metazoa; Chordata; Testudines; Testudinidae.